GGAUAGUAAGGAUAAAAAAAGAGAGAGGAAGAAGUGAGGGAUCGAUGAGGUGAGGGUUGGGAGAGGAAGAAGUGAGAGAAAAGGAAAGAAAGAAAAAAAGAGUUUGGGGGGAUAAAUUGGGUUGGGGUUGCGGGUGUGGGGAAGGCGAGGUGAGGGCUGGGAGAGGAAGAAGAGAGGGAAAAGGAGAGAAGGAAAAAAAAGGGGCUUGGGAG
RNAcentral lists this long non-coding RNA (212 nucleotides) under Elaeis guineensis (African oil palm). RNAcentral's name for it is "long non-coding RNA (EGUI_LNC054898)". Lineage: Eukaryota; Viridiplantae; Streptophyta; Magnoliopsida; Arecales; Arecaceae. The record is from RNAcentral.